GAUGGACGCUGGCGGCGUGCUUAACACAUGCAAGUCGAACGGAAAGGCUCCUGCUUGCAGGGGUACUCGAGUGGCGAACGGGUGAGUAACACGUGGGUGAUCUGCCCUGCACUUCGGGAUAAGCCUGGGAAACUGGGUCUAAUACCGGAUAGGACGAUGGUUUGGAUGCCAUUGUGGAAAGUUUUUCGGUGUGGGAUGAGCUCGCGGCCUAUCAGCUUGUUGGUGGGGUAAUGGCCUACCAAGGCGUCGACGGGUAGCCGGCCUGAGAGGGUGUACGGCCACCUUGGGACUGAGGUACGGCCCAGACUCCUUCGGGAGGCAGAGGUGGGGAAUCUUGCGCAAUAGGCGGAAGCCUGAUGCAGCGACGCCGCGUGGGGGAUGACGGCCUUCGGGUUGUAAACUCCUUUCGCUAGGGACGAAGCGAACGUGACGGUACCUGGAGAAGAAGCACCGGCUAACUACGUG
RNAcentral lists this ribosomal RNA (465 nucleotides) under uncultured bacterium. Its description in RNAcentral is "partial 16S ribosomal RNA". It matches the Rfam family "Bacterial small subunit ribosomal RNA", at positions 28 to 507 of the family's 1533-position model. The record is from RNAcentral.